Molecule: ribosomal RNA, 462 nt
Filed under: uncultured bacterium
Lineage: Bacteria
Description: partial 16S ribosomal RNA
Rfam family: Bacterial small subunit ribosomal RNA
Source: RNAcentral
GACGAACGCUGGCGGCGUGCUUAACACAUGCAAGUCGAACGGUGAAGCCCUUCGGGGUGGAUCAGUGGCGAACGGGUGAGUAACACGUGAGCAACCUGCCCCUGGCUCUGGGACAACCACUGGAAACGGUGGCUAAUACCGGAUACGACCCGCCUCGCCAUCGAGUGUGGGUGGAAAGUUUUUCGGCUGGGGAUGGGCUCGCGGCCUAUCAGCUUGUUGGUGAGGUGAAGGCUCACCAAGGCGACGACGGGUAGCCGGCCUGAGAGGGCGACCGGCCACACUGGGACUGAGACACGGCCCAGACUCCUACGGGAGGCAGCAGUGGGGAAUAUUGCACAAUGGGCGAAAGCCUGAUGCAGCGACGCCGCGUGAGGGAUGACGGCCUUCGGGUUGUAAACCUCUUUCAGCUCCGAAGAAGCGAAAGUGACGGUAGGAGCAGAAGAAGCACCGGCUAACUACGUG